Molecule: long non-coding RNA, 1745 nt
Filed under: Homo sapiens (human)
Lineage: Eukaryota; Metazoa; Chordata; Mammalia; Primates; Hominidae
Description: HSALNT0203736
Source: RNAcentral
GUUUUAUUUUUAGGUCAUUUUCAAGUGCACAAGUAUAUGUAUUUUUAAACUGUAUUGAUACAGUUUCCCUUCUACCAAAUCAUUUCUGGGUGUUAGAGUUUUACUUUGGAAAGCAAUGACCUAACUUCAGUUGUUAAUUCCCUUUCAAAAUAUCCCAAAAUUUGGGAGCAGAUGCAAGGAUCCUAUUGAAAAUCUUGACCAUCUUGGCUGUUUGGUGCAAAUCUAAAUCUUGGCUUGAAAAACAUUUUUUAAAAUUUUUGUCGGGGGGUGGUGAAAAUUCAAUUUUAGAACUUGCCUCGUAUAAGGACUUCUUAAAUCUACUUUCAGAAUCUAAAUACGGAGUAUGCCUUUAAUGAUAUCCGUUUAAAAAUCAAGGGAAUGGAGAUGCCCCAGCUGGGAGGGUAUGGGCAGAAAAAGCUUCCAGUGGCCUCUUUCAUUUAAUCACAGUCAGCUUUCCUUCUAGGGGGUUCCAAAUUAGCAGUGGGGCAACUUUUAUUUUUUAUUUUUCAGUUUGAACAAGCAGGUGUUUCUUUCAUGAGGCCCAUAUGUUCCUUCACAAGCUUUAUCCAAAGCACCUACAGUAUAGCCUAUGGCAAUGUGGCACACGGCCAAUUUCCUUACAAGACUUUCCUUUUUAUUCCAAGGAGAAUAUGUGGCAAGUGAAUGUAAGUGUGUAUGUGCAUGUGUUUAGGUUCAUGUGUGUGUGUGCAUGUGUGUUGAAGAAACAGGGCAAGAGAACCACAGCAUUCUCUUUGGGUUGGUGGAGCAUCUACUCAUUAUGCCAGAAAACCACAGCGAGGAUGAGCCCACAGUGAGGCCUGAGGUCCAAACUGACCCCACGCCAAACUCCCGCUCAUCGGCAUAUUUCCCAGCAGGCUGUAACGUGGCUCUGGCAGACCCUGAGAGCAGCUGUGUCUGCCUGGCAGACAGGCAGUAGUUCGACCAGGUGGAUUUCUUAAGUUAAAAAUAACGGUCAUUCUGAAGAAAGAAGAGCACCACUCAAAGUUGACUGUUCCUUGUUCAAUCAGGAUCACCCACAGGAACCCAAAGGAGUGAGCCAGGGCGAAGUGAUGGAAGUCUGUAGAGGUGAGAAAAUAGAGAGCCUUCUACUGUAACUGCGGGGAAAUGGGAAAACACCUGGAAGCCCCGAUAUCUGGCCAAGAGGACAAUUAUUUCAAGGAAAUGAUGACAUCACGGAGCAUCUCAUUAAAGGUAUUGAUUAGCUGUCAUAAAGCCAGCUCAGAAUGAUAUUCGGUGCCAAUUAAAUUGAAGCCUUAUGUCUCAAAUAAGAUUGUAUUAGCUAAUCUUAAAUUUUGUCUAUUAGACUAUGUGAUAAUUUAGUCUAGUAGAUAAAAUUAAUGAAUUUUGUCUACUAGCUAAAAUGUACAAAGAUACAGUAUUAUUCCUUGAUUGCUACAGUCUCUUCAAACAAUGGUGAAAAGUGAUUCACGCUUCAACUUUGUGAUAAGCGGACAACAUGAGAUUGGAGGCACCAAUGCACACACAAUGAAGCAUAAUGCAUGGAAGAAUACAGUGGUGACAGGGGAGUGUGACCUCUGUUUCUGUAAUCUGAGACUGCAUCCUGCUAUUGACCUACUCUCUCAGCUUCACCUAACACCAAUGGAAAUCCUGUACGUGAAACAAUGACAGGAUAUUUCUGGAAAAGUUAUAAAAAGUCAGGGCUCUGGAGAGAACUAUUCAGAAUGCAUUGUUCAUGAACUCAUGGAAUCUUUACAUAACACCCA